ACUAGGAAUUUUGCGCAAUGGGGGCAACCCUGACGCAGCGACACAGCGUGGAGGAGGAAGGUCUUCGGAUUGUAAACUCCUUUUAUAUGGGAAGAAUAGAUGACUGUACCAUAUGAAUAAGCACCUGCUAACUACGUGCCAGAAGCAUCGGUGAUGCGUAGGGUGCGAACGUUAUCCGGAUUUAUUGGGCGUAAAGAGAUGCGUAGGCGUUUCAGUUAGUCUUUCGUUAAAAGUCACGGCUUAACCGUGAAGAUGCGUUGGAUACUGCUGAAAUUGAGACAUGAAGGGGUGAACGGAACUCCAAGUGGAGCGGUGAAAUGCGUUGAUAUUUGGAAGAACAUCAGAGGCGAAGGCGGUUCACUGGUCAUUGUCUGACGCUAAGGCUCGAAAGCGUGGGUAGCAAAACGGAUUAGAUACCCUAGUAGUCC
This 428-nucleotide ribosomal RNA is filed under the name uncultured bacterium. RNAcentral's name for it is "partial 16S ribosomal RNA". It matches the Rfam family "Bacterial small subunit ribosomal RNA", at positions 354 to 796 of the family's 1533-position model. The record is from RNAcentral.